Molecule: ribosomal RNA, 117 nt
Filed under: Leuconostoc pseudomesenteroides
Lineage: Bacteria; Bacillati; Bacillota; Bacilli; Lactobacillales; Lactobacillaceae
Source: RNAcentral
AAACCUGUCGAUAGCAUAGAGGACACACCUGUUCCCAUACCGAACACAGAAGUUAAGCUCUAUAGCGCCGAAAGUAGUUGGAGGAUCGCUUCCUGCGAGGAUAGGACGAUGCGGUGC